CCGAAUGGGGAAACCCAGUGUGACUCGUCACACUAUCAUUAACUGAAUCCAUAGGUUAAUGAGGCGAACCGGGGGAACUGAAACAUCUAAGUACCCCGAGGAAAAGAAAUCAACCGAGAUUCCCCCAGUAGCGGCGAGCGAACGGGGAGGAGCCCAGAGCCUGAAUCAGCAUGUGUGUUAGUGGAAGCGUCUGGAAAGGCGCGCGAUACAGGGUGACAGCCCCGUACACAAAAGCGCAUGUGCUGUGAGCUCGAUGAGUAGGGCGGGACACGUGGUAUCCUGUCUGAAUAUGGGGGGACCAUCCUCCAAGGCUAAAUACUCCUGACUGACCGAUAGUGAACCAGUACCGUGAGGGAAAGGCGAAAAGAACCCCGGCGAGGGGAGUGAAAAAGAACCUGAAACCGUGUACGUACAAGCAGUGGGAGCCCCACCACUAAGCCAGUGGUGAACUCCACAUACGCAUCCUUUGCUGAGGAUACGGUUAACGGAGCGAAAGCGACGUUCAACCUCAAAAGAAGCAGAGGGGGCUUAGUGGUGGGGUGACUGCGUACCUUUUGUAUAAUGGGUCAGCGACUUAUAUUCUGUAGCAAGGUUAACCGAAUAGGGGAGCCGGAGGGAAACCGAGUCUUAA
Molecule: ribosomal RNA, 631 nt
Filed under: Salmonella enterica subsp. enterica serovar Give
Lineage: Bacteria; Pseudomonadati; Pseudomonadota; Gammaproteobacteria; Enterobacterales; Enterobacteriaceae
Description: bacterial LSU rRNA
Rfam family: Bacterial large subunit ribosomal RNA
Source: RNAcentral